UUAAUCAUAGUUCAGUAUCUUCAUUAGUUGGACAAUUAAUCAUAAUUCAUUAUCUUCGUUAGUUGGACAAUAAUCAUAGUAUGGUAUCUUCAUUAGUUUGACAAUUGAUUCAUAGUUCAGUUUCUACGUUAUUGAUUGUCUUUUCGUCUUAGUUCAGGAUCUUGGUUAGUUGGACUAGUUUUAGAUCGCACCUUUGAUAUACUACAGCCCUUAUCGGUGUGCCACAUGUUCAGACCUCUAGAACACUCGACCACAUCCACUAUAUAAACAU
RNAcentral lists this long non-coding RNA (271 nucleotides) under Mytilus galloprovincialis (Mediterranean mussel). Lineage: Eukaryota; Metazoa; Mollusca; Bivalvia; Mytilida; Mytilidae. The record is from RNAcentral.